This 400-nucleotide ribosomal RNA is filed under the name uncultured bacterium. RNAcentral's name for it is "bacterial SSU rRNA". It matches the Rfam family "Bacterial small subunit ribosomal RNA", at positions 355 to 772 of the family's 1533-position model. The record is from RNAcentral.
UGAGGAAUAUUGGACAAUGGGCGAAAGCCUGAUCCAGCAAUACCGCGUGAGUGAAGAAGGCCUUAGGGUUGUAAAGCUCUUUCAGUAGGGAAAAUAAUGAUGGUACCUACAAAAGAAGUUCCGGCUAACUCCGUGCCAGCAGCCGCGGUAAUACGGAGGGAACUAGCGUUGUUCGGAUUUACUGGGCGUAAAGGGCGCGUAGGCGGCUUAGUAAGUUAGAAGUGAAAGCCCGGGGCUUAACCCCGGAACUGCUUCUAAAACUGCUAAACUAGAGUGCGGGAGAGGAUAAUGGAAUUCCUAGUGUAGAGGUGAAAUUCUUAGAUAUUAGGAGGAACACCAGUGGCGAAAGCGAUUAUCUGGAACGCAACUGACGCUGAGGCGCGAAAGCGUGGGGAGCAAA